This 406-nucleotide ribosomal RNA is filed under the name uncultured bacterium. RNAcentral's name for it is "partial 16S ribosomal RNA". It matches the Rfam family "Bacterial small subunit ribosomal RNA", at positions 539 to 942 of the family's 1533-position model. The record is from RNAcentral.
CGUUGUUCGGAUUUANUGGGNGUAAAGCGCACGUAGGCGGNCUGUUAAGUCAGGGGUGAAAUCCUGGAGCUCAACUCCAGAACUGCCCUUGAUACUGGUAGGCUCGAGUAUGGAAGAGGUUGGUGGAACUGCGAGUGUAGAGGUGAAAUUCGUNGAUAUUCGCAAGAACACCAGUGGNGAAGGCGGNCAACUGGUCCAUUACUGACGCUGAGGUGCGAAAGCGUGGGGAGCAAACAGGUUUAGAUACCCUGGUAGUCCACGCCGUAAACGAUGNAAUGCCAGCCGNCGGAGGAGCUUGCUCUUCGGUGGNGCAGUNUAACGCUUUAAGCAUUCCGCCUGGGGAGUACGGUCGCAAGAUUAAANCUCAAAGGAAUUGACGGGGGCCCNCACAAGCGGNGGANCAUGU